GAUGAACGCUGGCGGCGUGCCUAAUACAUGCAAGUCGAACGAACGGACGCGACUCUUGCUUCUCUGAUGUUAGCGGCGCACGUGUGAGUAACGCGUGGAUCACCUCCCUAUCUUACUGGGAUCACUUCGGGAAACCGGCGCUAAUACCGUAUAAUAUUUUGCACCGCAUGGGUCAAAAGUGAAAUACGGUCUUGCUGUCACUUCUCGCUGCAUCCGGGCUGCAUUAGCUAGUUGGUAAGGUAACAGCUUACCAAGGCAACGAUGCAUAGCCGAACUGAGAGGGGGAUAGCCCACACUGGAACUGAGACACCGUCCUGAGGCCUAAGGGAGGGAGCAGUAGGGAACCGGACGCAAUAGGCGAAAGUAUGACGGAGCAACGGCGAGUGAGUGAUGAAGGUCCUCGGAGCGUAAAACUCUGUUAUUAGGGAAGAACAUAUGUGUAAGGAAAUGUGCAGAGCGUGACGGUACUUAAUCAGAAAGCCACGGCUAACUACGUG
This 497-nucleotide ribosomal RNA is filed under the name uncultured bacterium. RNAcentral's name for it is "partial 16S ribosomal RNA". It matches the Rfam family "Bacterial small subunit ribosomal RNA", at positions 28 to 507 of the family's 1533-position model. The record is from RNAcentral.